UACGGAGGGUGCGAGCGUUGUCCGGAAUCACUGGGCGUAAAGGGCGCGUAGGUGGCCCGAUGAGUCAACGGUGAAAGCUCGGCGCUCAACGCCGAGUCGGCCGUCGAUACUGUCGGGCUGGAGCACUGUAGAGGCAGAUGGAAUUCCGGGUGUAGCGGUGGAAUGCGUAGAGAUCCGGAAGAACACCGGUGGCGAAGGCGGUCUGCUGGGCAGUUGCUGACACUGAGGCGCGACAGCGUGGGGAGCAAACAGG
This 253-nucleotide ribosomal RNA is filed under the name uncultured bacterium. RNAcentral describes it as "partial 16S ribosomal RNA". It matches the Rfam family "Bacterial small subunit ribosomal RNA", at positions 524 to 776 of the family's 1533-position model. The record is from RNAcentral.